Danio aesculapii is the source of this 1199-nucleotide long non-coding RNA. RefSeq lists it as uncharacterized. The transcript is spliced from 3 exons. The record is from RefSeq and is a predicted model, not a curated record. NCBI's taxonomy places the organism in Eukaryota, Metazoa, Chordata, Actinopteri, Cypriniformes, Danionidae.
GAAACAGCUGUGUCACUGUCUGCAGUACUGUGUUUAAAUGUGUGUGUGUUUGUUAGCUUACAGGCUGCAUGGUUCCUCCAGCGAUGAUCACAGCUCUGCACUCCUGGAGGAUCUGAGCGAAGUGAACCGCGGCGUUCAGCAGGAGAAACUUCAGGCUGCUCUGAGCUACACACGCUGCAGGAACACAGGAAACGAGCACAAUAAAUCAGACAGAUGGAUCAAGAUAAAAUACUCAGAGAAACCAGUGUAUCACUCAGCUGACCUCCGAGUGUCCGCACCAGACCCUCCAGCACAAAGAGGAUCUGCUUGAUGUACAUCAGGCAAUCCCAUACUGCCUCUUUAAUAUUAUAUUAAGGUGUGGACUCUGUGGACUCUUCGGCUUAGUCCCUUUAUUAAUCUGGGGUCGCCACAGCGGAAUGAACCGCUAACUUAUCCAGCAUAUGUUUUACACAGCGGAUGCCCUUCCAGCUGCAACCUAUUGCUGGGAAACAAUCAUACACACUCAUUCACACACAUACAUUUUUGGACUUGGUGGGGAAACCCACGUCAACACGGGGAAAACAUGCAAACUCCACACAGAAAUGCCAAAUGAUCCAGCCGGGGCUCGAACCAGUAACCUUCUUGCUGUGAGGCAAUUGUGCUACCCACUGCACCACUGUGCUGCCCUUAGCUGUUUUUGUCUAUAAAUAUCAUGAAUAUCUAUAAAUAUGAGAUAAUUUCAUAAUCAGUAGAAUUAUCUCUAAAUAUCAUUACUGUUCAUGUAAGAAGCGAGAGAUUAUCAUUCUAGAUUAUAAAUAAUUAUAUUAUUAUAAUUACUACAUUAAAAUGACAAAUCUAAUGGUGGCCAAAGACUUUUCCGCCAACUUAUCUAGCAUAUGUUUUAUGCAGCGGAUGCCCUUCCAGCCACAACCCAACACUGGGAAACACCCAUACACUCUUGCAUUUACACACAUACACUACGGCCAAUUUAGCUUCUUCAAUUUACCUAUACCGCAUGUCAUUGGACUGUGGGGAAAACCGGAGCACCUGGAGGAAACCCACACCAACACGGGGAGAACAUGCAAACUCCACACAGAAAUGCCAACUGACCCAGCCGAGGCUCCAACCAGCGACCUUCUUGCUGUGAGGCGAUCGUGCUACCCACUGCGCCACCGUAACGCCUUAUAUAUGUAUAUAUAUAUUGCAUAAAAUAACUAAGA